RNAcentral lists this ribosomal RNA (881 nucleotides) under Escherichia coli. RNAcentral's name for it is "partial 23S ribosomal RNA". It matches the Rfam family "Bacterial large subunit ribosomal RNA", at positions 344 to 1228 of the family's 2925-position model. Lineage: Bacteria; Pseudomonadati; Pseudomonadota; Gammaproteobacteria; Enterobacterales; Enterobacteriaceae. The record is from RNAcentral.
GGAAAGGCGCGCGAUACAGGGUGACAGCCCCGUACACAAAAAUGCACAUGCUGUGAGCUCGAUGAGUAGGGCGGGACACGUGGUAUCCUGUCUGAAUAUGGGGGGACCAUCCUCCAAGGCUAAAUACUCCUGACUGACCGAUAGUGAACCAGUACCGUGAGGGAAAGGCGAAAAGAACCCCGGCGAGGGGAGUGAAAAAGAACCUGAAACCGUGUACGUACAAGCAGUGGGAGCACGCUUAGGCGUGUGACUGCGUACCUUUUGUAUAAUGGGUCAGCGACUUAUAUUCUGUAGCAAGGUUAACCGAAUAGGGGAGCCGAAGGGAAACCGAGUCUUAACUGGGCGUUAAGUUGCAGGGUAUAGACCCGAAACCCGGUGAUCUAGCCAUGGGCAGGUUGAAGGUUGGGUAACACUAACUGGAGGACCGAACCGACUAAUGUUGAAAAAUUAGCGGAUGACUUGUGGCUGGGGGUGAAAGGCCAAUCAAACCGGGAGAUAGCUGGUUCUCCCCGAAAGCUAUUUAGGUAGCGCCUCGUGAAUUCAUCUCCGGGGGUAGAGCACUGUUUCGGCAAGGGGGUCAUCCCGACUUACCAACCCGAUGCAAACUGCGAAUACCGGAGAAUGUUAUCACGGGAGACACACGGCGGGUGCUAACGUCCGUCGUGAAGAGGGAAACAACCCAGACCGCCAGCUAAGGUCCCAAAGUCAUGGUUAAGUGGGAAACGAUGUGGGAAGGCCCAGACAGCCAGGAUGUUGGCUUAGAAGCAGCCAUCAUUUAAAGAAAGCGUAAUAGCUCACUGGUCGAGUCGGCCUGCGCGGAAGAUGUAACGGGGCUAAACCAUGCACCGAAGCUGCGGCAGCGACGCUGAUGCGUUGUUGGG